This 170-nucleotide ribosomal RNA is filed under the name uncultured bacterium. RNAcentral's name for it is "partial 16S ribosomal RNA". It matches the Rfam family "Bacterial small subunit ribosomal RNA", at positions 1331 to 1500 of the family's 1533-position model. The record is from RNAcentral.
AUUGCUAGUAAUGGCAGGUCAGCAUACUGCCGUGAAUACGUUCCCGGGCCUUGUACACACCGCCCGUCACACCAUGAGAGUUGGGGAUACCCGAAGCCUGUGAGCCAACUAUAUAGAGGCAGCAGUCGAAGGUAGAAUCAAUGAUUGGGGUGAAGUCGUAACAAGGUAAC